RNAcentral lists this ribosomal RNA (447 nucleotides) under Triticum aestivum (bread wheat). RNAcentral describes it as "partial small subunit ribosomal RNA". The record is from RNAcentral. Lineage: Eukaryota; Viridiplantae; Streptophyta; Magnoliopsida; Poales; Poaceae.
AUGGAGGAACAAAUAGAAGCAGAAGAGAAGGAGUGGGGUUACGAUUCAUCUGAUGAGGAUUACUCAUACGAUGAAGACUCUAACGGACAACAAGUGAGAAGGAAGAGCAGGUUUCCUAGAUACAAUAAUGAGACAGAGAUUCCACAUUUUAGCUUGACGAUGGUAUUCAGAAGCAAGAACUAGUUGGUGAAAGCACUGAAGAGGUAUGGACUGGUCACCAAAAGGAGCAUCGUGUUCCUUAAAUCAGAGUCAGAUAGGGUUAGGGCCAUAUGUGGAUGGGAUGGUUGCCCUUGGUUGCUCUAUGCUUCAAAAAACUCAAGAACCAACAGGUUCCAAAUAAGCACAUUCAAUGAUGAGCACCAUUGUGCACAUAACAGAAACAAUAGGCUUGUGACUGCGAAAGUUAUUGCACAGCGGUACGAGCAUUUUAUUCUAGCUAAUCCUAUG